RNAcentral lists this ribosomal RNA (253 nucleotides) under uncultured bacterium. RNAcentral's name for it is "partial 16S ribosomal RNA". It matches the Rfam family "Bacterial small subunit ribosomal RNA", at positions 524 to 776 of the family's 1533-position model. The record is from RNAcentral.
GACAGAGGAGGCGUGCGUUAUCCGGAGUUAUUGGGCGUAAAGGGUAUGUAGGCGGCUGGUCAAGCCUGGGGUUAAAGACCACAGCUUAACUGUGGGGGGGCCUUGAAAACUGACCGGCUGGAGUGGGGCAGGUGUUGCGGGAAUUCCCGGUGUAGCGGUGAAAUGCGUAGAUAUCGGGAAAAACACCUGAUGCGAAAGCGCGCAACUGGGCCCUAACUGACGCUGAGAUACUAAAUCUAGGAGAGCGAAUUUC